RNAcentral lists this transfer RNA (97 nucleotides) under Terriglobia bacterium. RNAcentral describes it as "tRNA-Sec". It matches the Rfam family "Selenocysteine transfer RNA". Lineage: Bacteria; Pseudomonadati; Acidobacteriota; Terriglobia. The record is from RNAcentral. RNAcentral also lists the same sequence under 3 other names.
GGAAGCGCAUGCGGUCCGGUGAUCGUCCCGGUCUUCAAAACCGGCGGGCGGCAUCUUCGAUGUCGCCGGUGUGUUCGACUCACACACGCUUCCGCCA